GAUAGUGGCUCAGUGGUAGAGUGCUUGCCUAGCAUGCAUGAGGCCCUGGGUUCAAUCCUCAGCAUCA
RNAcentral lists this transfer RNA (67 nucleotides) under Marmota marmota marmota (Alpine marmot). It matches the Rfam family "tRNA". From Rfam's summary of the family: Transfer RNA (tRNA) molecules are approximately 80 nucleotides in length. Their secondary structure includes four short double-helical elements and three loops (D, anti-codon, and T loops). Lineage: Eukaryota; Metazoa; Chordata; Mammalia; Rodentia; Sciuridae. RNAcentral also lists the same sequence under 3 other names. The record is from Rfam by way of RNAcentral.